UACGUAGGUGGCAAGCGUUGUUCGGAAUUAUUGGGCGUAAAGGGCGCGUAGGCGGUUUGUUAAGUCGGCUGUGAAAGCCCGGGGCUCAACCCCGGAGGGUCAGCCGAUACUGGCAGACUAGAGUACGGAAGAGGUAGCUGGAAUUCCCGGUGUAGCGGUGAAAUGCGUAGAUAUCAGGAGGAACACCAAUAGCGAAGGCAGCUCGCUGGGACGGUACUGACGCUAAGGUGCGAAAGCGUGGGGAGCGAACAGG
RNAcentral lists this ribosomal RNA (253 nucleotides) under uncultured bacterium. RNAcentral's name for it is "partial 16S ribosomal RNA". It matches the Rfam family "Bacterial small subunit ribosomal RNA", at positions 524 to 776 of the family's 1533-position model. The record is from RNAcentral.